RNAcentral lists this long non-coding RNA (1136 nucleotides) under Gossypium barbadense (sea-island cotton). RNAcentral describes it as "long non-coding RNA (GBAR_LNC008512)". The record is from RNAcentral. Lineage: Eukaryota; Viridiplantae; Streptophyta; Magnoliopsida; Malvales; Malvaceae.
AAACAAAGAAAACAAUCAGCCCCUUUUAAAAUAACCCUAGCCCCUUUUUAUUUCCCCAUAAUUUUCUCCUCUCUUGACCGAUUCUCAUCCCCCCAAACCACAAGCUACACAUUCAAGCCUGGAGAAUGAUUUUUCAGCUUUGAAAUCCUCUCUUGGCUUUGAUUCAAACAAAGCAAGAAAGAAAGCUAUGGCGCAUUUGCCAGGUAAGACUUCGCUCUCUCCUUUUUUUAUUUUUGAAAUCAAUGAUGAAAGACAGAAGGAAAUGAAUCGCAAGAAAAUUAAAAGGUAUGGAGAAACUCGUAUUGGAAAUCACCUUUUUAAUUUUUGAUUGCUUUCUUUUUCAAUAUGCAUGUGUAUUGCUGGGAAAAAGGAUCCUAUUUACAUCGUUUACAUUCGGUCUUAUAGCCGAAAAAUAAGUAAAUAAAAAUACAAAAAAUCCUUACUGUAAUCUGUUAUUGUUUGCUGUCAUUUGAUGUUGUGGUUUUCGUUUGUUGCAGGUGUGCAUGGCGUGGAGGAGUUAUUUGCGGAGCAUGGCACGAGUGGAAGAAUCGGCUAAAGGCUGUGGUGGCUGAAGCUUCUAAGGUUUCUGCCGAAAAUUCCCUAGGUGUUUUGGGCUUGGGGUAUUUUGGAUUAUUUAGGCUAUUUGGGUUAAGUUUAAUAAUUUGAGCCCAUUUAUUUUGGUUGCUGGGCUAUGUAAGAAAUGGACAUUGGAUUAUUAUUGUUGUUUUAUUUUAUUUUUGGUUUUAGUUUUGGUGUAGGCCCAAGCACAAAUUGGGUCUUACAAUUAUGAUAUACUAAAUUGAAGAAAAAAGAUAAUUACGUGAAAAAAAUUUAAAAAAUAAAAUUAUAAGUACCUCAAUUAGAAUAUUUGGUUCAAUUUAUUCGACUUUACUCCUUAAAUCAAUUCAGUUUAUAUGAAUAAUUUGUUUUAUUCAAUUUUUGGUAUAAAAAAUCAAACCAACCGAAUACACAAUUCUAUUGUUUGUAACUUUAAAAUUACAUUUAUAAAUAAGAGAUAUGAAAGAUGAAAUUCUCUUGCAAAAUCUAAGACAUGAACAACAAUACUGAUUUUAUCAUGACCAUCUUCAUCAAAAUAAUGGUACAAUAAAAGAACUAAUGGCAAGUCAAUGUCCAAC